ACAUCGGUGAAUCAUGCCUUGCGGGGCAUGCAAGAGGGUUUGACCCCAAAACCGGGGGUGAGUCACACCUAUAGGGUGUGUAAGAGGGUUGACCGGUUUGACCUCAAAACCAGGGAUGAGUCACACCUACAGGGUGUGCAAGAAGGUUUGAUCAUUUUAGCCUCCAAACCGGGGGGCGAGUCCAGCGCAACUGGACAGCGUCGAAUCGGAGGAUGCAUGGCACCAUCGUGAAGCUUGCGUCGAGAUGAAGCGAAGUCGUGAAGGCGCUGGGUCCGUUCGAUGUACCGAUAAAAAGUUGGACAAUUUUACCCCUAUGGGGUACCUAGGGUAUUUGAGUUGUACGCUUCAUAUAAGGGUAUUCUGGUCAUUUUUUGGAUGCCUAUGUAUAUGAGGAGUGGCUGUUGAGGCAGUCACAUCUCUGGGACUGUUUGGUGGUGGGCUUCUCAUUUUGUUGGUGAGCGCCUUUAGUAGGGAAGAGAGGGAGAGAGAUGAAAGAAUCUUU
Molecule: long non-coding RNA, 502 nt
Filed under: Setaria italica (foxtail millet)
Lineage: Eukaryota; Viridiplantae; Streptophyta; Magnoliopsida; Poales; Poaceae
Description: long non-coding RNA (SITA_LNC005948)
Source: RNAcentral